CUCCCCAAAAAGUGCCCAGGCUGUCCCAACAACUGCACCUCAAAGCCAAAGGAUCCAGACUUUUUUUCCUGGUGGAAAGAGCUGCUGUUCCCUUUCUUCAGCCCUGCGCUGCAAUGGCCGAUCCCACGUCCUGAAAAAUAGAAUCCAGCUGAAGAUUCCUGCCAGACAAAAGGUGCCACCACAGAAAGGUCUUCCUGCUCAAGAAGUGCCCAGGCUGUCCGAACAAUUGCACCUCAAAGCCAAAUCUUCCAGACUUUUUUUUUCUGGUGGAAAGAGCUACUGUUCCCUUUUUUCAGGCUUGCGCUGCAAUGGCCGGUCCCACCUCCUGGAAAACUGAAUCCAAAUGAAGAUUCUUGCAGACAAAUGUGCCACAACAGAAAAGUCUUGCUGCCCAAGAAGUUCCCAGGCUGCACCAACAACUGCACCUCAAAGCUAAAGUUUCCAGACUUCUUUUCGUGGUGGAAAGAGCUGCUGUUCCCUUUUUUCUGCCCUGCUCUGCAAUGGCCGAUCCUACCUUCUGAAAAAUAGAAUCCAGCUGAAGAUUCCUGCCAGACUAAAGGUGCCACCACAGAAAGGCCUUCCUGCUCAAGAGGUUCCCUGGCUGUCCCAAAACUGCACCUCAAACCAAAGCUUCCAGAUAUUUUUCCUAGUGGAAAGAGCUGCUGUUCCCUUUUUUCUGCCCUGCGCUGCAAUGGCCGGUCCCACCUCCUUAAAAAUUGAGGGAAAAUGAAGAUUCAUGCCAGACAAAAGGUGCCACCACAGAAAACUCUUGCUGCCCAAGAAGUACCCAGGCUGCACCAAGUCCACCUGAAGUCAAAGCCUCCAGAGUUCUUUUCCUGGUGGAAAGAGCUGCUGUUCCCUUUUUCAGCCCAGCGCUGCAAUGGCGGGCCCCACAUCCUGGAAAAUGGAACGUAAAUGAAGAUUCCUGCCAGAAAAAAGGUGCCACCACAAAAAGGUCUUCCUGCUCAGGAAGUGCCCAGGCUUCCCCAACAACUAAACCUGAAGCCAAAGCUUCCAGAGUUUUUUUCCUGCUAAAAAGAGCUGCUGCUCCCUUUUUUCUGCCCUGCGCUGCAAUGGCCGGUCCCACCUGCUGGAAAAUGGAACGGAAAUGAAGAUUCCUGCCAGACAAAAGGUGCCACCACAGAAAGAUCUUCCUGCUAAAGAAGUGCCAAUGCUGUCCCAAAACUGCACCUCAAACCAAAGCUUCCAGACUUUUUUUCCUGGUGGAAAGAGCUGCUGUUCCCUUUUUUCUGCCCUGCGCUGCAAUGGCCGGUCCCACCUCCUGGAAAAUUGAAUGUAAAUGAAGAUUCCUGCCAGACAAAACGUUCCACCACAGAAAGGUCUUGCUGCCCAAGAAGUGCCCGGGCUGCACCAACUACACCUGAAGCCAACGCUUCCAGACUUUUUUCCUGGUGGAAAGAACUGCUGUUCCAUUUUUUCAGGCCUGCACUGCAAUGGCCGAUCCCACCUCCUUGAAAAUUUAUUCUAAAUGAAGAUUCCUGCCAGACUAAAGGUGCCACCACAGAAAGGUCUUCCUGCUCAAGAAGUGCCCAGGCUGCCCAGAACUGCACCUCAAAGCCAAAGCUUCCAGACUUUUUUCCUUGUGGAGAGAGCUGCUGUUCCAUUUUUUCAGGCCUGCGCUGCAAUGGCCGGUCCCACCUCCUGGAAAAUUUACUCUAAAUGAAGAUUCCUGCCAGACUAAAGGUGCCACCACAGAAAAAUCUUCCUGCCCAAAAAGUGCCCAGGCUGCCCCAACAACUGCACCUCAAAGCCAAAGCUUCCAGACUUUCUUUCCUGGUGGAAAGAGCUGCUGUUCCCUUUUUUCAGGCCUGCGCUGCAACAUCCGGUCCCUCCUCCUGGAAAAUUUACUCUAAAUGAAGAUUCCUGCCAGACUAAAGGUGCCACCACAGAAAGGUCUUCCUGCUCAAGAAGUGCCCAGG
Lepidothrix coronata (blue-crowned manakin) is the source of this 1940-nucleotide long non-coding RNA. RefSeq lists it as uncharacterized. Lineage: Eukaryota; Metazoa; Chordata; Aves; Passeriformes; Pipridae. The record is from RefSeq and is a predicted model, not a curated record. The transcript is spliced from 3 exons.